Molecule: ribosomal RNA, 308 nt
Filed under: uncultured archaeon
Lineage: Archaea
Description: bacterial SSU rRNA
Rfam family: Archaeal small subunit ribosomal RNA
Source: RNAcentral
AGUCAGGUAACGAGCGAGAUUUUUGCCACUAGUUGCUAUCAUUAUUCUCAGGAAUAGUGGGGCGAAUUAGUGGGACUGCCGUUGUUAAAACGGAGGAAGAAAGGGGCUACGGCAGGUCAGUAUGCCCCGAAACUCUGGGGCCACAUGCGGGUUGCAAUGGUAGUGACAAUGAGUUCCAACUCGAAAGAGUGUGAAUCUCUAAACGCUACCACAGUUAUGACUGAGGGCUGUAACUCGCCCUCACGAAUAUGGAAUCUAGUAACCGCGUGUCAUUACCGCGCGGUGAAUACGUCCCUGCUCCUUGCACA